GGAGGCGGGAGGGUGCCUGGUGGCCCCCAUGGUCUUCAAAACCACUGCACGGCGCUCGGCGUCGUGGGCGGGUUCGAUUCCCGUACGCCUCCGCCA
RNAcentral lists this transfer RNA (96 nucleotides) under Actinoallomurus iriomotensis. RNAcentral's name for it is "tRNA-Sec". It matches the Rfam family "Selenocysteine transfer RNA". Lineage: Bacteria; Bacillati; Actinomycetota; Actinomycetes; Streptosporangiales; Thermomonosporaceae. RNAcentral also lists the same sequence under 2 other names. The record is from RNAcentral.